RNAcentral lists this ribosomal RNA (579 nucleotides) under Ornithinimicrobium sp. CPCC 203926. RNAcentral's name for it is "bacterial SSU rRNA". It matches the Rfam family "Bacterial small subunit ribosomal RNA", at positions 95 to 687 of the family's 1533-position model. The record is from RNAcentral. Lineage: Bacteria; Bacillati; Actinomycetota; Actinomycetes; Micrococcales; Ornithinimicrobiaceae.
GUGGCGAACGGGUGAGUAACACGUGAGUAACCUGCCCUCCACUCUGGGAUAACUCCGGGAAACCGGUGCUAAUACUGGAUAUGACCUUAACCUGCAUGGGUAUGGGGUGGAAAGAUUUAUCGGUGGUGGAUGGACUCGCGGCCUAUCAGCUUGUUGGUGGGGUAAUGGCCUACCAAGGCGACGACGGGUAGCCGGCCUGAGAGGGUGACCGGCCACACUGGGACUGAGACACGGCCCAGACUCCUACGGGAGGCAGCAGUGGGGAAUAUUGCACAAUGGGCGAAAGCCUGAUGCAGCGACGCCGCGUGCGGGAUGACGGCCUUCGGGUUGUAAACCGCUUUCAGCUCUGACGAAGCUUUUGUGACGGUAGGAGCAGAAGAAGCACCGGCUAACUACGUGCCAGCAGCCGCGGUAAUACGUAGGGUGCGAGCGUUGUCCGGAAUUAUUGGGCGUAAAGAGCUUGUAGGCGGCUUGUCGCGUCUGCUGUGAAAACCCGGGGCUUAACCCCGGGCUUGCAGUGGGUACGGGCAGGCUAGAGUGUGGUAGGGGAGACUGGAAUUCCUGGUGUAGCGGUGGAAU